This 687-nucleotide ribosomal RNA is filed under the name Triticum aestivum (bread wheat). RNAcentral's name for it is "partial small subunit ribosomal RNA". Lineage: Eukaryota; Viridiplantae; Streptophyta; Magnoliopsida; Poales; Poaceae. The record is from RNAcentral.
AUGACGACAUUUGUCGCCUCUAUCCGGCACCGUAGUAGGACCGAUGAAGUCCACCACCGUGGCGGCCAUCCUGGCCAUAGUUGUGGCAGCAGCGCUCGCCACGGCCGUGAACGCAGCGCGACAUGCGCAAACUGCCUCUGCUGCAGCCAAUACGGGUACUGCUGCAGCCACGAUGCCUACUGCGGCGCCGGCUGCCAGAGCCAGUGCAGCGGCUGCGGUCCCAGCGGCCAGGGCGUGUCCUCCAUCCUGUUCAGGGACCUCUUCGAGCGGCUCCUCCUCCACCGCAACGACAGGGCAUGCCUAGCUCGUGGGUUCUACACAUAUGACGCCUUCCUUUCCGCCGCCGCCGCAUACCCGUUCUUCGGCACCACCGGGAGCACGGAGAUGCGGAAGCGGAAGGUGGCGGCCUUCCUCGGGCAGACCUCCCACGAGAACACCGGUGGGUGGGCCACGGCACCAGACGGCCCCUACUCCUGGGGCUACUGCUUCAAGCAAGAGAAAGGGGAUGGCACACCGAAAAGCUACUGCGAGCCAAAGCCAGAGUGGCCGUGCGCGUCGGGCAAGAAGUACUACGGCCGCGGCCCGAUCGAGCUCACCUGGAACUACAACUACGACCAGGCAGGGCGGGCUAUCGGGGUGGACCUGCUGAACAACCCGGACCUGGUGGCGACAGACGCGACGGUGUAG